AAGUCGUAACAAGGUUUCCGUAGGUGAACCUGCGGAAGGAUCAUUAUCAAUGGACCCUAAACAACACCGUGCACAGGGCGAUAAUCGCCCAAAUCACUACAUAAUAACAGCAACAGAGUCAUUUUAUAGACAACUUUUAGCAACGGAUCUCUAGGUUCUC
Molecule: unclassified non-coding RNA, 160 nt
Filed under: fungal sp.
Lineage: Eukaryota; Fungi
Also listed under: 1 other name
Description: partial contains small subunit ribosomal RNA, internal transcribed spacer 1, and 5.8S ribosomal RNA
Rfam family: Eukaryotic small subunit ribosomal RNA (bases 1-46)
Source: RNAcentral